Molecule: ribosomal RNA, 540 nt
Filed under: uncultured bacterium
Lineage: Bacteria
Description: bacterial SSU rRNA
Rfam family: Bacterial small subunit ribosomal RNA
Source: RNAcentral
AAAAUAGAUACCCCGGGUAGUCCACGCCCUAAAACGAUGCGAACUGGAUGUUGGGUACAUUACGGUACUCAGUGUCGAAGCUAACGCGUUAAGUUCGCCGCCUGGGGAGUACGGUCGCAAGACUGAAACUCAAAGGAAUUGACGGGGGCCCGCACAAGCGGUGGAGUAUGUGGUUUAAUUCGAUGCAACGCGAAGAACCUUACCUGGCCUUGACAUCUGUCGAAUCCUGCAGAGAUGCGGGAGUGCCGCAAGGAACGACAAGACAGGUGCUGCAUGGCUGUCGUCAGCUCGUGUCGUGAGAUGUUGGGUUAAGUCCCGCAACGAGCGCAACCCUUGUCCCUAGUUGCCAGCACGUAAUGGUGGGAACUCUAGGGAGACUGCCGGUGACAAGCCGGAGGAAGGUGGGGAUGACGUCAAGUCCUCAUGGCCCUUACGGCCAGGGCUACACACGUAACUACAAGUGGUCGGUACAGAGGGUUGCGAAGCCGCGAGGUGGAGCCAAUCCCAGAAAACCGAUCCCAGUCCGGAAUCGGAGUCUGC